RNAcentral lists this unclassified non-coding RNA (269 nucleotides) under uncultured fungus. Its description in RNAcentral is "sequence contains ITS1". The record is from RNAcentral. Lineage: Eukaryota; Fungi.
GUAUUAUAAUUUAAAGGCACAGAAGGCCCAUGAUUAACAUUCUAUAACUUGUUAUGGAGUAUAUGUUAUAAACAUAGACCUGGAAUGCAAGGACAGCUGAUUUUCACAACAGUCCUCAAACCGAGUUUCCUCGAACAGUUUCAUUCAGGCCUACAGUAUGUGCACAGGUGGUUAAAAAAUGGAGUGAGCGUGCACAUGCUCCUGAGAGCCAGCAGCAACCCAACCAAGUUUAUUCAAUAAUGAUCCUUCCGCAGGUUCACCUACGGAAA